Molecule: long non-coding RNA, 777 nt
Organism: Populus euphratica (Euphrates poplar)
Lineage: Eukaryota; Viridiplantae; Streptophyta; Magnoliopsida; Malpighiales; Salicaceae
Exons: 2
Source: RefSeq, a predicted model, not a curated record
GUUUCAUGGGCUUGCCAAUAGAAGCAACCGAUGACUCUCCCUCUCCCUCCUUCGCAGGGAUCCUUCACUCCAUUCUCAUCUGAUUCUCUCUCAAAUUCACUUCGAUCGAACCCAUUUGACUAGAAACGGAAAAGGGUAUUCUUAAAUUGAAGCAAACGUCAGAUUUAUCUUCAAAGACUUCAUUUUUUCAGAUAUUGUAAAAAUUGUUGCUGUCAUGGAUCCAGAGGCUGCAAAGACUGCAAGAGACUCUUUGAAUUUGGCAUUUCACAUGUCAAACCUUCUUGAUACAGGACUUGAUCGACACACCCUUUCGGUUCUUAUUGCCCUUUGUGAUUUGGGUUUGAACCCAGAAGCACUUGCUGCUGUUGUGAAAGAACUCCGGAGAGAACCUGUUUCAUCUUCACUGCCAAAUUCUAGUGCUCCGGUAGCUAAACCGUAGUUGGGUAAUGGUUUUGUAAUGAUUUCGGUAGAAUGCAAUGUAAGGUAAUAUGAUGUCUGCUUGUUUGUUGAUCGGAUUUUUUCUUUUUGUAUUGAAAUUCAAAAUGCAGCGAACCACUUGUAUUUUUUUUGCCCUCCCUGACUUGAUGAGUUGUAGAAAUUUGGGUACCAUUUGUAGAGGAGUGGAGAGCUCUGUCUCAAACACAAUUAUGUGCUAAAGAUGGAACUUGUUGUCUAAGCGUCCACUGUACUUUAGUGAUUUCCUCUUGUUAAAGCCUGUGUGUUCCUGACCAAACAUGCGUUUUGAUUGAGUUUAAGUUGUUUCGGUUGUUUCAUUCA